ACUCUUCAACCCCCCAAUUCCUUGUUUGAAUUGGGACGGCUUGGAUUCUGAGCGCUGCUGGCCUUUUCGGAGGCGAAGCUCGUUCGUAAUACAUUAGCAACUCAAUUUCGAGUGUUCGGAUUGACUCGGCGUAAUAGACUAUUCGCUGAGGAACUUGCCGCCUUUACGGGCGGUGGCCGAACUUUGAAGUAGAAGCUCAUAAAACUCAAAUUUGAUCAGUCAAAUCACCCUUAAG
Molecule: unclassified non-coding RNA, 235 nt
Filed under: uncultured Microbotryomycetes
Lineage: Eukaryota; Fungi; Basidiomycota; Microbotryomycetes
Description: sequence contains ITS2
Source: RNAcentral